Molecule: transfer RNA, 71 nt
Filed under: Camelus dromedarius (Arabian camel)
Lineage: Eukaryota; Metazoa; Chordata; Mammalia; Artiodactyla; Camelidae
Also listed under: 1 other name
Rfam family: tRNA
About the family: Transfer RNA (tRNA) molecules are approximately 80 nucleotides in length.
Source: Rfam by way of RNAcentral
GAGGGUGUAAGUCAAUGGUAGGGUGCAUGCCUAGCGUGCAUGAAGUCCUGGGUUCAAUCCUCAGUACCUCA